GUAGGAAUAGAAGUGUCCAUAAGUGCAAUAAUUUCAACAUGUUAGGAAAAUUAAAAAUUCAAUAUUUUAGGAAUACAUAUAACAAAAUAUAGUAUACCAUUAAGAUUAUCAGUAAGAUUUUGCUUUUUCUUUUGAGGUACUGGGGAUUAAACCCAACUCCUCCUCAUGCUAGGCAAACACUCUACCACUAAUAAAUACCUCCAGCUCUUUUUAUUUUUUUAUUUGGCAAGAGGGUCUAGCUAAAUUUCUCAGGUUGGCCUCAAACUUGAGGUCCUCUUCAUUCAGCCUUCUAAAUAGCUGAGAUUAUAAGUAUGGACCACCACACCUGACUAACAAGAAAUUUUUAUCAAAAACUAGUCUUAGGGUUUAGGGUCAAGAACUCAGCACAUGGAUUCUGUAUCUGUGAGCUCUAAGGGGAAGCAAGAGGUAUCCAAAAAUAGUUCCCUUCUAUUGAAGAGGAUACACUGCAGUGAUCAUUUCCGCUGAUAUUGUGGGGUUGUGUUAAGAGCUCCAUGUUAUGUGAGCCACAAUUUAUUCAGCUCAUUAUUUAUUAUGUAAGAAUAUAUUGUUCCAAUCAACUCGAGAGAAUUUAAAUGGUUUUAACCAUUUAAGUUUUAACACAUUUUAUUACAUACUGAAUUAUUAUACUGCAUGGUAAUUAAACAUGAAUAUUACACUUAUUUUUUUUUCAUUUCAUUUUGUCAUUUCUUGAACAUUUAAAACCAAGGUCAGUUUAUGUUCCUGAUGCCAAGUACCUUUUAACCAUCUAUAUUAGUCUGUUUUCUGUUACCAUAACAAAAUACUAUAGGCUGGAUAUUUAAAAAGAAAAGAAGUUUAUUUAACUCAUAGUUUUAGAGGCUGAAAAUCCAAAGAGCACAGCACCAAUUCUGGUGAGGGCCUCUAGCUACAUCAUCUUGGAAGAGGGUAUCAUAAUGGCAAGAGCACUAGCAAGAGUAAAAGGUAAUUAGGCAAGACAGGAAGCCAAAAGAGGGAGCACAGCCAGUCUGGUUAAUUUUAAGCAACUGUUCAAACUUACCAAAGGGUACUAUGAGAACUGCUUUAAUCUAUUCAGAGGAGAGUUGCCUCAGUGAUAUUCCACUACUAAGCUCAACAGCUUAAAGUCCUCCCUCCUCUAUACCACCGCACAGAGGACCAAGGCUCCAACACAUGAACUGCUGGGAGACAGACCACAUCCAAACAAUAGCAUUAUUAUCCUUUUUUUCCCCAUAACUUUUUAGUCAUCUAUGUGAUUCAAUUUCUUACCCUCAGAACCUGAGCCUAUGCCCUAGAGCUGGGGAUUUCUGUGUAUUUUAUCCCAACACAUCUCUGCUCUUCCCUCAUCCCAUUCAUUCUUGAAGAUUUGAGCCAGCUGCAUUUUUGCCCCCAUUCCUGCUACUUAUGAAUUAGGCAAGGAAAGGCUUAACAUGGCAGGAAUCCUGGGGCAUAAAAUAAAAUUGCAGACAUCAACAGAAGGGCAACAGUAACAUUACAAUGUUGUAGAUGGGAAAGAAAAAGAUCAGAAAUGGCAAAUGGAAGGUGACAAGGGAAGUGGGAUUCCCAUAAUUUAGAUUCCUCUGUAAAUUGUAUUGGAGUACCAAUGGCAUGCCCUCUCUACAAGAGCAAACAAGCAAGAGGAGAUGUGAAACAAUAAGAAAUAUACAACUAGUCUGUGCAUUCGCCCUGCCCUGUUUCCUAGCACACAGCUCCUAACCCCCUUGGAAUUUCCUAAGCAAUAAGUGUCUUUUUGCUUGCUCAUGAAAUAACUGAUGACUAGGAGUUCCUGGAUACACUCUAAAUGGGGGCUGGUUACCUGGGGAACCAACAGUGUGAUUAGAGGGUUGAAACUUUCAUCCCCACCCACUGACCCUCAAAGAGGGGAGAGGUUUGGGGCUGAAGGUUGAGUUAAUCACUGAGGGACAAUGGUUUACUCAAUCAUGAUAAUGUAAUGAAGCCUCCACAAAAACCCAAAGAGGGUUUGGAGAGGUCCAGGUUGCUAGGAAGUGCUAAGAGGGUGGCAGAACUCAAAACGGGAAUGGAAAGUCCGUGCAACUCCUCCAUACUGCCCUAGUCAUCUCUUCCAAACAGCUUUUCAUC
Molecule: long non-coding RNA, 2094 nt
Filed under: Marmota monax (woodchuck)
Lineage: Eukaryota; Metazoa; Chordata; Mammalia; Rodentia; Sciuridae
Source: RNAcentral